This 371-nucleotide ribosomal RNA is filed under the name uncultured organism. Its description in RNAcentral is "partial 16S ribosomal RNA". It matches the Rfam family "Bacterial small subunit ribosomal RNA", at positions 527 to 895 of the family's 1533-position model. The record is from RNAcentral.
GUAGGGUGCAAGCGUUAAUCGGAAUUACUGGGCGUAAAGCGUGCGCAGGCGGUUUUGUAAGUCUGAUGUGAAAUCCCCGGGCUCAACCUGGGAAUUGCAUUGGAGACUGCAAGGCUAGAAUCUGGCAGAGGGGGGUAGAAUUCCACGUGUAGCAGUGAAAUGCGUAGAUAUGUGGAGGAACACCGAUGGCGAAGGCAGCCCCCCUGGGUCAAGAUUGACGCUCAUGCACGAAAGCGUGGGGGGAGCAAACAGGAUUAGAUACCCUGGUAGUCCACGCCCCUAAACGAUGUCUACUAGUUGUCGGGUCUUAAUUGACUUGGUAACGCAGCUAACGCGUGAAGUAGACCGCCUGGGAGUACGGUCGCAAGAUU